GACGAACGCUGGCGGCGUGCUUAACACAUGCAAGUCGAACGGAAAGGCCCUGCUUUUGUGGGGUGCUCGAGUGGCGAACGGGUGAGUAACACGUGAGUAACCUGCCCUUGACUUUGGUAUAACUUCAGGAAACUGGGGCUAAUACCGGAUAGGAGCUCCUGCUGCAUGGUGGGGGUUGGAAAUUUUCGGCGGUUGGGGAUGGACUCGCGGCUUAUCAGCUUGUUGGUGGGGUAGUGGCUUACCAAGGCUUUGACGGGUAGCUGGCAUGAGAGGGUGACCGGGCACAUUGGGACUGAGAGACGGCCCAGACUCCUACGGGAGGCAGCAGUGGGGAAUAUUGCACAAUGGGCGGAAGCCUGAUGAAGCAACGCCGCGUGCGGGAUGACGGCCUUCGGGUUGUAAACCGCUUUCGCCUGUGACGAAGCGUGAGUGACGGUAAUGGGUAAAGAAGCACCGGCUAACUACGUG
Molecule: ribosomal RNA, 468 nt
Filed under: uncultured bacterium
Lineage: Bacteria
Description: partial 16S ribosomal RNA
Rfam family: Bacterial small subunit ribosomal RNA
Source: RNAcentral